GUAGGGAAUAUUGGGCAAUGGAUGCAAGUCUGACCCAGCCAUCCCGCGUGUUGGAAGAAGGCCCUCUGGGUUGUAAACAACUUUUAACAGAGAAGAAACCUCAGGAUGCGUUCUGAAUUGACGGUAUCUGUUGAAUAAGCACCGGCUAACUACGUGCCAGCAGCCGCGGUAAUACGGAGGGUGCAAGCGUUGUCCGGAUUUAUUGGGUUUAAAGUGUGCGUAGGCGGGAAAUUAAGUCAGUGGUGAAAGUCUGUUGCUUAACGGUAUGAUUGCCGUUGAUACGGAUUUUCUUGAAUCGGGUUGAGGUUAUCGGAAUGUGACAUGUAGCGGUGAAAUGCAUAGAUAUGUCAUGGAACACCAAUUGCGAAGGGAGCUAGCUGGGCCUUGAUUGACGCUGAGGCACGAAAGCGUGGGUAGCGAACAGGAUUAGAAACCCUGGUAGUCC
RNAcentral lists this ribosomal RNA (445 nucleotides) under uncultured bacterium. Its description in RNAcentral is "partial 16S ribosomal RNA". It matches the Rfam family "Bacterial small subunit ribosomal RNA", at positions 354 to 796 of the family's 1533-position model. The record is from RNAcentral.